This 495-nucleotide ribosomal RNA is filed under the name uncultured bacterium. RNAcentral's name for it is "partial 16S ribosomal RNA". It matches the Rfam family "Bacterial small subunit ribosomal RNA", at positions 28 to 507 of the family's 1533-position model. The record is from RNAcentral.
GACGAACGCUGGCGGCGUGCCUAAUACAUGCAAGUAGAACGCUGAAGGAGGAGCUUGCUUCUCUGGAUGAGUUGCGAACGGGUGAGUAACGCGUAGGUAACCUGCCUGGUAGUGGGGGAUAACUAUUGGAAACGAUAGCUAAUACCGCAUAAGAGUAGAUGUCGCAUGACAUUUGCUUAAAAGGUGCAAUUGCAUCACUACCAGAUGGACCUGCGUUGUAUUAGCUAGUUGGUGAGGUAACGGCUCACCAAGGCAACGAUACAUAGCCGACCUGAGAGGGUGAGCGGCCGCACUGGGACUGAGACACGCCCCAGACUCCUACAGGAGGCAGCAGUAGGGAAUCUUCGGCAAUGGGCGGAAGUCUGACCGAGCAACGCCGCGUGAGUGAAGAAGGUUGUCGGAUCGUAAAGCUCGGUUGUAAGAGAAGAACGAGUGUGAGAGUGGAAAGUUCACACUGUGACGGUAUCUUACCAGAAAGCGACGGCUAACUACGUG